Molecule: ribosomal RNA, 1064 nt
Filed under: bacterium endosymbiont of Donacia dentata
Lineage: Bacteria
Description: bacterial SSU rRNA
Rfam family: Bacterial small subunit ribosomal RNA
Source: RNAcentral
AUAUUGCACAAUGGGCGAANNNNNGAUGCAGCUAUGCCGCGUGUAUGAAGAAGGCCUUCGGGUUGUAAAGUACUUUCAACAAGAAAGAAAAAAUAAAAUCUAAUAUAUUUUAUUCUUGACGUUACUUGGAAAAGAAGCACCGGCUAACUCCGUGCCAGCAGCCGCGGUAAUACGGAGGGUGCUAGCGUUAAUCGGAAUUACUGGGCGUAAAGAGCACNNNGGCGGUUAAUUAAGUCAGAUGUGAAAUCCCUAAGCUUAACUUAGGAACUGCAUUUGAAACUAAUUAACUUGAGUUUCGUAGAGGGGGGUAGAAUUCCAGGUGUAGCGGUGAAAUGCGUAGAUAUCUGGAGGAAUACCAGUGGCGAAGGCGACCCCCUGGACGAAUACUGACGCUCAGGUGCGAAAGCAUGGGGAGCAAACAGGAUUAGAUACCCUGGUAGUCCAUGCUGUAAACGAUGUCGACUUGAAGGUUGUAAGCUUGACUUGUAACUUUCGUAGCUAACGCGUUAAGUCGACCGCCUGGGGAGUACGACCGCAAGGUUAAAACUCAAAUGAAUUGACGGGGGCCCGCACAAGCGGUGGAGCAUGUGGUUUAAUUCGAUGCAACGCGAAAAACCUUACCUGGUCUUGACAUCCAUGGAAUUUAAUAGAGAUAUUUAAGUGCCUUCGGGAACCAUGAGACAGGUGCUGCAUGGCUGUCGUCAGCUCGUGUUGUGAAAUGUUGGGUUAAGUCCCGCAACGAGCGCAACCCUUGUCCUUUGUUGCCAUCAGUUUAGCUGGGAACUCAAAGGAAACUGCCGGUGAUAAACCGGAGGAAGGUGAGGACGACGUCAAGUCAUCAUGGCCCUUACGACCAGGGCUACACACGUGCUACAAUGGUAUAUACAAAGGGAAGCAUCCUCGUAAGAGUAAGCGGAUCUCACAAAAUAUAUCUUAGUUCGGAUUGGAGUCUGCAACUCGACUCUAUGAAGUCGGAAUCGCUAGUAAUCGUAGAUCAGAACGCUACGGUGAAUACGUUNCCGGGCCUUGUACACACCGCCCGUCACACCAUGGGAGUGGGUUGU